RNAcentral lists this unclassified non-coding RNA (257 nucleotides) under fungal sp. Its description in RNAcentral is "partial internal transcribed spacer region". The stretch from base 1 to 46 matches the Rfam family "Eukaryotic small subunit ribosomal RNA", at positions 1786 to 1831 of the family's 1831-position model. Lineage: Eukaryota; Fungi. The record is from RNAcentral.
AAGUCGUAACAAGGUUUCCGUAGGUGAACCUGCGGAAGGAUCAUUAUUGAAUGAAUCUAGAGUUGGUUGUCGCUGGCCUCUUCGCGGAGGCAUGUGCACGCCUUCUCUUUCAUCCACACACACCUGUGCACCUGUGAGACGGAGGCCUUUCUUAAGGUUUCCGUCUGCCAAUACACAAACUCCAUAUAUUGUAAUCUGAAUGUAAUCGAUGUAACGCAUCUAUAAACUAAGUUUCAACAACGGAUCUCUUGGCUCUC